Molecule: ribosomal RNA, 786 nt
Filed under: uncultured Pelagibacteraceae bacterium
Lineage: Bacteria; Pseudomonadati; Pseudomonadota; Alphaproteobacteria; Candidatus Pelagibacterales; Candidatus Pelagibacteraceae
Description: bacterial SSU rRNA
Rfam family: Bacterial small subunit ribosomal RNA
Source: RNAcentral
ACAUGCAAGUCGAACGCAGUAGCAAUACUGAGUGGCAGACGGGUGAGUAUAAUGUGGGAAUCUGCCUUUUGGUUUGGAAUAACUCGGGGAAACUUGAGCUAAUACCGGAUAAGCCCUUACGGGGAAAGAUUUAUCGCCAAAAGAUGAGCCCGCACUUGAUUAGCUUGUUGGUGAGGUAAAGGCUCACCAAGGCAACAAUCAAUAGCUGUUCUUAGAGGAAGACCAGCCACAUUGGGACUGAGACACGGCCCAGACUCCUACGGGAGGCAGCAGUGGGGAAUCUUGCACAAUGGGGGAAACCCUGAUGCAGCGAUGCCGCGUGAGUGAAGAAGGCCUUUGGGUUGUAAAACUCUUUCGUCGGGGAAGAAAAUGACUGUACCCGAAUAAGAAGGUCCGGCUAACUUCGUGCCAGCAGCCGCGGUAAUACGAAGGGACCUAGCGUAGUUCGGAAUUACUGGGCUUAAAGAGCUCGUAGGUGGUUAAAAAAGUUGGUGGUGAAAUCCCAAGGCUCAACCUUGGAACUGCCAUCAAAACUUUUUAGCUAGAGUGUGAUAGAGGAAAGUGGAAUUUCUAGUGUAGAGGUGAAAUUCGUAGAUAUUAGAAAGAACACCAAAAGCGAAGGCAACUUUCUGGAUCACUACUGACACUGAGGAGCGAAAGCAUGGGUAGCGAAGAGGAUUAGAUACCCUCGUAGUCCAUGCUGUAAACGAUGUGUGCUAGACGUUGGAAAUUUUAUUUUCAGUGUCGCAGCAAAAGCGUUAAGCACACCGCCUGGGGAGUACGACC